GCACUGUUAGCUCAGAUGGAUAGAGCAAUUGCCUUCUAAGCAAUCGGUCACUGGUUCGACUCCAGUACAGUGUGCCA
This 77-nucleotide transfer RNA is filed under the name Trabulsiella odontotermitis. RNAcentral describes it as "tRNA-Arg". It matches the Rfam family "tRNA". From Rfam's summary of the family: Transfer RNA (tRNA) molecules are approximately 80 nucleotides in length. Their secondary structure includes four short double-helical elements and three loops (D, anti-codon, and T loops). Further hydrogen bonds mediate the characteristic L-shaped molecular structure. tRNAs have two regions of fundamental functional importance: the anti-codon, which is responsible for specific mRNA codon recognition, and the 3' end, to which the tRNAs corresponding amino acid is attached (by aminoacyl-tRNA synthetases). tRNAs cope with the degeneracy of the genetic code in two manners: having more than one tRNA (with a specific anti-codon) for a particular amino acid; and 'wobble' base-pairing, i.e. permitting non-standard base-pairing at the 3rd anti-codon position. The record is from RNAcentral. Lineage: Bacteria; Pseudomonadati; Pseudomonadota; Gammaproteobacteria; Enterobacterales; Enterobacteriaceae.